This 255-nucleotide ribosomal RNA is filed under the name uncultured bacterium. RNAcentral's name for it is "partial 16S ribosomal RNA". It matches the Rfam family "Bacterial small subunit ribosomal RNA", at positions 524 to 779 of the family's 1533-position model. The record is from RNAcentral.
UACGAAGGGGGCUAGCGUUGCUCGGAAUCACUGGGCGUAAAGGGUGCGUAGGCGGGUCUUUAAGUCAGAGGUGAAAUCCUGGAGCUCAACUCCAGAACUGCCUUUGAUACUGAGGAUCUUGAGUUCGGGAGAGGUGAGUGGAACUGCGAGUGUAGAGGUGAAGUUCGUAGAUAUUCGCAAGAACACCAGUGGCGAAGGCGGCUCACUGGCCCGAUACUGACGCUGAGGCACGAAAGCGUGGGAGCAACAGGGAUU